Molecule: ribosomal RNA, 706 nt
Filed under: uncultured Bacteroidota bacterium
Lineage: Bacteria; Pseudomonadati; Bacteroidota
Description: bacterial SSU rRNA
Rfam family: Bacterial small subunit ribosomal RNA
Source: RNAcentral
UGCAAGUCGGACGGGAUUGAAGAGCUUGCUUUUCAUGAGAGUGGCGCACGGGUGCGUAACACGUAUGUAACCUACCUUUGUCAGGGGGAUAGCCUCUCGAAAGAGAGAUUAAGACCGCAUAACAUGGAGACACAGCAUUGUGACUCCAUCAAAUAUUUAUAGGACAAAGAUGGGCAUGCGGAACAUUAGCUAGUUGGUAAGGUAAUGGCUUACCAAGGCUACGAUGUUUAGGGGAUCUGAGAGGAUGACCCCCCACACUGGUACUGAGACACGGACCAGACUCCUACGGGAGGCAGCAGUAAGGAAUAUUGGUCAAUGGGCGCAAGCCUGAACCAGCCAUGCCGCGUGCAGGAAGACGGCCCUACGGGUUGUAAACUGCUUUUAUACGGGAAUAAACCUCGAUACGUGUAUCGAGCUGAAUGUACUGUAAGAAUAAGGAUCGGCUAACUCCGUGCCAGCAGCCGCGGUAAUACGGAGGAUCCAAGCGUUAUCCGGAUUUAUUGGGUUUAAAGGGUGCGUAGGUGGCCUGUUAAGUCAGGGGUGAAAGACGGUAGCUCAACUAUCGCAGUGCCCUUGAUACUGAUGGGCUUGAAUACACUAGAGGUAGGCGGAAUGUGACAAGUAGCGGUGAAAUGCAUAGAUAUGUCACAGAACACCAAUUGCGANGGCAGCUUACUAUGGUGUCAUUGACACUGANGCACGAAAG